This 451-nucleotide ribosomal RNA is filed under the name uncultured bacterium. RNAcentral describes it as "partial 16S ribosomal RNA". It matches the Rfam family "Bacterial small subunit ribosomal RNA", at positions 28 to 507 of the family's 1533-position model. The record is from RNAcentral.
GAUGAACGCUGGCGGCGUGCCUAACACAUGCAAGUCGAGCGGCAGCGAGGGGUGCUUGCACCCUGUCGGCGAGCGGCGGACGGCUGAGUAACGCGUGGGAACGUGCCCCAAAGUGAGGAAUAACUGCCCGAAAGGGUAGCUAAUACCGCAUAUUAUCUUCGGAUCAAAGGAUUUAUCCGCUUUGGGAGCGGCUCGCGUCGGAUUAGGUAGUUGGUGAGGUAAUGGCUCACCAAGCCGACGAUCCGUAGCUGGUCUGAGAGGAUGACCAGCCAGACUGGAACUGAGACACGGUCCAGACUCCUACGGGAGGCAGCAGUGAGGAAUCUUCCACAAUGGGCGAAAGCCUGAUGGAGCAACGCCGCGUGCAUGACGAAGGCCUUCGGGUUGUAAACUGCUUUUAUAAGUGAGGAAUAUGACGGUAACUUAUGAAUAAGGAUCGGCUAACUACGUG